AAUUUUUUUAUAUAAAAUCAGCCGAUAAAUUCAAAUGUAACGUUCAUUGUGUACUCUCCCGGCAUAACCUAUAACAGCUGACUUGGAAAAAUAUUUUCCAUAAUUCAGAACGUGUCAACACAGCCGAGUGGUUGUUUUAUUUUUAUGUUAUUUAUUCGAAUUAAGAUUUUACUAGCAGAAAAUAUCAAUUUAAAAACAGUUAAUCAAGUGCAAUAAAAAGACCAAGGACUACAAAUAAUUCAAAUGGAUCAAAAAUACCGGUUUGUUACAGUUACAGGAUUAAUAGAUCAAAAUAACUGUUCUGUCAAAGGACUUAAUGAUCAGGAACGUUACCAGGAUCUUUCACAUUUAGAUUUUUCUUCCUUCAACGACCAUUAUCAUCAUAGCAUGAUUGAAGUAAUGAACCACUUAGGAAGUCUUGGAUACAAAAUAGUUUCUCAACAUUCUAAUAAGGAUAAUACCCAAACAAUUUGGUUACAAAAAGAAUUAAAAAAUUCGGGAUAACUAUAACUUAUUAAAGUAUUUUUAUAUUUUUUGAGAAGAAAAA
Cotesia glomerata is the source of this 547-nucleotide long non-coding RNA. RefSeq lists it as uncharacterized. The transcript has 3 exons. The record is from RefSeq and is a predicted model, not a curated record. NCBI's taxonomy places the organism in Eukaryota, Metazoa, Arthropoda, Insecta, Hymenoptera, Braconidae.